Molecule: transfer RNA, 74 nt
Filed under: Planctomycetota bacterium
Lineage: Bacteria; Pseudomonadati; Planctomycetota
Description: tRNA-Pro
Rfam family: tRNA
About the family: Transfer RNA (tRNA) molecules are approximately 80 nucleotides in length.
Source: RNAcentral
GCGGGUGUAGGCUAAUUGGCAAAGCCGCCUGACUUGGAAUCAGGUGUUUCCCGGUUCAAGACCGGGCGCCCGCA